UACAGAGGAGCCAAGCGUUGUCCGGAUUGACUGGGCGUAAAGCGCACGCAGGCGGAUGCGCGCGUGGGGUGUGAAAUCUGGCCGCUUAACGACCAGGCGCCAUCCCAUACGGCGCGUCUGGAGUGAUGCAGAGGUCGAUGGAAUUGCCGGUGUAGUGGUGAAAUGCGUAGAGAUCGGCAGGAACACCCAGGGGGAAACCAGUCGACUGGGCAUCUACUGACGCUGAGGUGCGAGAGCGUGGGGAGCGAACCGG
RNAcentral lists this ribosomal RNA (253 nucleotides) under uncultured bacterium. RNAcentral describes it as "partial 16S ribosomal RNA". It matches the Rfam family "Bacterial small subunit ribosomal RNA", at positions 524 to 776 of the family's 1533-position model. The record is from RNAcentral.